GGGAAAUGUAGGGGAGCAGCCGGACUGAGCUGCCCAAGGGGGUCGGCGCCCCAGGCUUCUUGGUGGCAUGCUGGGGAGCGGGGAGGGGGCGAUUCUUACCCGAAGGCUGCCGAGCUACAGGCGGCGGUCGGUCCGGGCGUCUGCUGUAAUCCACUAGGCGCUGCCCGGCUGCGCUCACUCUCGGACGCAGAGACCCGCUCAUGUUGGUGAAGAAGCCGCGCCAGAACCGCGCGGCUGCAGUCACCUCGAGCAGGCCGGCUGCUCCUGGCAGGCGGUGUCGGCGCCGGCGGGGGACUCGGCGCCCAGGGCCCCUUCCAGGCCCUCCCUCGCCGGGCUCCCCACCAGCUCCGGAGGUGGCGGCGAUGCGGACCGAGUGAGCGGCGGUGGGGCCAGGCCGGGCGCCGGGCGGGAGCCGAGGCCGCGGCGGACUCCGCAAUCCCGCAGCCGGUGACUGGAGCCCACCUCUGCAGAGACAAAGGAACUGCUCUGGUGAACUCCCCCUGAAAGUAAAUGUCCUUGGCUGGCCUCCAGCAUUCCCCUCAUGGGCAUAGCCAUGCAGCCUUCAGAACCUUCCUGAAAGAGCCCUCGGUCCCGCAGUCGGGCCCCGUCGCUGACUCUCCAGCUUCCGAGCCGCGGGCGGCGAGUCCAGGGCACACGGAGCGGCCGCGGGGGCGCCAGGCCGGUGUCGCCCGAGGCAGGCGGGCCCUCGGGGCGGCCCCUAGCGCCCGAGGGGAGCUGUUCUCCCCUCGCCUCUCUCCCUACUCACACCCACCCCUCCCCACACAUCCCCACACACACGCUUGCUCACAGCUUGUCGUGUUGUUUAAAACAGGUGGAAGACCUCUGUAAUGAUAUUAUGCCUUUCAAUAAAAAUUUUAUGAGGUGUAUUUGAUUAUAGAUUAAUGUGUCCCUAAUAAAACGGACGGAUGGAGCAGAUCGGAGGGCCCCCUCCCCCUGCCACACUCACACACGCCCGCGCGGCCACACACACCCCGACGUGAGGCUGGGCACACGCCGCGGCCCGAGGGGCGAGCCGGGGCGCGGCGGUGGAGGACACAGAGGGGCUUCUGCCUGCCCUCGGAAGGGCGGGCGGCCGGGCGAGUUGGCGCAGCACGGACAGUGGCGGCCAGGGUGCUUCGUCUUCUCCGAUGAUGCUGGAAAGGCCCUGGAAGAGAACACGCCACAGGGCAGAACCCAAAUGCUAGAGCAGCUUGCUCCCGCCCGCCGCCUCAGCCCUGCCUCAGCGAGUCUCCCCGGGCAGGGCCGCUUCGCGCGGUUCGCACUUAAAGGCCUCGGAGGAGACUCCCAAAAUGUCUAAAAAAUUCGGCCGAAUGGCUAGGUCCUUGGGACACUCCCUUCUGAUUUUUUUCCCCCUACAGAGGUGAGGUUGAGCAGCCUUGAAUCUGAGGGAAAUGCCCAUUGUCACUCCCAAAUCCAUGGUACAAAGCCUCGGAAGCCCGGCUGGGAGCCCAGACAAAAGCGGCCGGGGCGCCGGCAGCGGAGGGCAUAUUCCUUGCUCUACAAGUUGCCCAGCUCACCCUUGGAGGGCUCCCGGCCCACCUCCAGCCCCGAAAAGGAAGCGGGUAAAUGGCUAUUUAUGGCCUGAUUGAUUACCUUUGCCAAUAGCUUUCUGAUUUUGUUCCAGAUGGGAUGCCUUUGCCUUGUAGCUCAGGCUUUCCUCGGAUACAUGGCCCGCUAUCAACAGCUAAUGGUAUUCCCCACAUGAUCGGAGAAACGGCUAAAUAAAAAUUACCCUCCUCCUGCCCAACCGGUGUUAAGUCUGGGGCAAAGCUAUUACAACGUUUUCAAUCUAGCAUUGAUUCCAAGCCCUCUCCCCCACCCCCAGGAAAUGGCCCCCUAAAAGAGUUCUGUCUUGGAAUGUUCCUGGUUUUGGGGCGGAAGUUUAAAAUUUUGAAUGCCAGUGUCCCAGAGACUCCCUGGCUGAGGACUUAUAGCACCUAAAUGGAUCGUUCUUAGGGAAACAUUUAAAAGGAAGAAAUGGAAAGGAUGUGUUUUGUAAAACUGCUGGAAGCUAUUUGAAACUGCAGGCAGGACCUCAGGUAACGAAUUUUCUGUUAGCUUUCUCCUGCAAGGCCUCUUCUCCCUUUUCCCCGACAGGACUAGAUAAGUCUGGGCUCUCUAGUGGAGAUCCUGUUGAAGCCGGUGGAAGCUGGUGGGAGUCCCCUGGACCAUGGCAGCGAAUGGAACAUUAGACUUCAUGGGAAGUCAUGUUCAUUUGCAAAAUUUUCAGUCACCCUUUCUGCAUUUUCUUGCAUCCCAGAUGCAGCAGUUCCCACCAGCAUUUUGUAAUUAAAUAGAGGAAAGACUGACUGGGGAAAAUCUUUUCAUUUCUUCCUUUAACAAAAUUUCAUGUGGGCCACUAAAAGGUAAUGACUGAGCAUAAAACCCGUCCACAAGGAGAUCAAGGCGAAGUGGGAUGGGAAAACUCACCCAUCCUCGGCUUCUCUGGGGUCUGGCUGUCUUGCGCUUGGGAUGGGGGUAGGGCUGAGGGAAAGGGGGCAGAAUUGGAUCCGCUGCAGUGCUACACUGCUGUUUGUCCUUGCUCCUGUAAUGGAGGCCGGCAACUUCCAGGUGGGCAAGACUAGCUUCAACCUAGCCCCUGAUGAUUGCUCGCCAGCCAGAAAUCACCAAGAUGCCACUGAAAGCAUUAAAAACAACACAACCAAAACCAAAGAGGAGAAAACACACAAAUGGGAAGCUUUGAGGAGAAAGUGGCUUGGGGUAUAGGCUUACUUACCAGGUUCAGGCCAGAGGAAAGCUCACACCCAUUGAGAGCGCAAUUAUGUUACUAUCACUGGGGACUGGGAAAGGAAAGAGGAGACUCCCCUUCCUCCCAAUUAUGAAAACUUCACUCUCAAGCUAGCUUAUAAUUCCUCUCCCCCAACCACUGCCAAAAUCCAACACCCUAGGCCUCCUCCAGCUUUUCUCCCCCAUCUCCCUUCCCCUACUAGUCUAUCACUCCCCUGCCCAAAUGCCCCAAACAGGGAGUGUAACCAGAAGAUAAUCUCACCAUAGGCUUUCAUUUCCACCAUAACAUAUUUCCAUUUCAGAAAGCAGAGGGAGUGAACUCAUUUCCAGAGUUUAUUGCAUUAUACAUGCGACCAGAACAUGCACAGAAAGGACAGGUUGCUGUUGUACUUCUACCAAACCACAGAUGCACCACAAGGGAAAGGCUACAAGGCAUAAAUCGCCAAUAUCCCAUCUCACCAAGGACAACUGCUAAAUUCAUUUGUGAAAAGAUACAUUGUAAUGUGCUUUUUAAGUCCCCCUCCCUCCAACUUGUGGGUUUUCUUAAUCUUUUUUUUUUAAAUAUAUAUGUCAUUUUUAAAGUACUGGAUGUAUUCAAAAUGCCAUGAGUUCAUGGACUAACCACACACAUAGACCUUUUGUGUUAGGAAAGACAUGAAAAAGUCACAUUGCUGGAUGGAUGGAUGGAUGGAUGCUCUACAGUUCCAAUAAGUUAAGACCCAAAUGAAAAUGCGCAAUAAUAGUUACCCUGCAUUACGAUGAAAAAAUAAUAAAUUAC
Molecule: long non-coding RNA, 3547 nt
Filed under: Homo sapiens (human)
Lineage: Eukaryota; Metazoa; Chordata; Mammalia; Primates; Hominidae
Description: PREDICTED lncRNA (TCONS_00162971)
Source: RNAcentral